GUGGGGAAUAUUGCGCAAUGGGGGAAACCCUGACGCAGCGACGCCGCGUGAGCGAAGAAGGCCUUAGGGUUGUAAAGCUCUGUUUUAAGGGACGAAUGUCGUGGGGAGUAAUAUGCUCUGCGAAUGACGGUACCUUAAGAGGAAGCCCCGGCUAACUACGUGCCAGCAGCCGCGGUAAGACGUAGGGGGCGAGCGUUGUCCGGAAUUACUGGGCGUAAAGAGCACGUAGGCGGGAACUUAAGUCAGGUGUGAAAGACCGGGGCUCAACUCCGGGGUUGCACUUGAAACUGGGUUUCUUGAGGGCAGGAGAGGAAAGCAGAAUUCCUGGUGUAGCGGUGAAAUGCGUAGAAAUCAGGAGGAAUACCAGUGGCGAAGGCGGCUUUCUGGACUGACCCUGACGCUGAGGUGCGAAAGCGUGGGUAGCAAACAGGAUUAGAAACCCCGGUAGUCC
RNAcentral lists this ribosomal RNA (451 nucleotides) under uncultured bacterium. Its description in RNAcentral is "partial 16S ribosomal RNA". It matches the Rfam family "Bacterial small subunit ribosomal RNA", at positions 354 to 796 of the family's 1533-position model. The record is from RNAcentral.